This 885-nucleotide ribosomal RNA is filed under the name Triticum aestivum (bread wheat). RNAcentral describes it as "partial small subunit ribosomal RNA". Lineage: Eukaryota; Viridiplantae; Streptophyta; Magnoliopsida; Poales; Poaceae. The record is from RNAcentral.
AUGAAGACAUUUCUCAUCAUUUCCCUCCUUGCUAUCGUGGCGACCACCGCCACAACUGCAGUUAGAGUUCCAGUGCCACAAUUGCAGCCGCAAAAUCCAUCUCUGCAGCAACCACAAGAGCAAGUUCCAUUGGUGCAACAACAACAAUUUCCAGGGCAGCAACAAACAUUUCCACCACAACAGCCAUAUCCGCAGCCGCAACCAUUUCCAGCACAACAACCAUAUCCGCAGCCGCAACUAUUUCCACAGCCGCAACCUUUUCCGCCACAACUUCCAUAUCCGCAGCCGCAACCAUUUCCCCCACAACAACCAUAUCCACAACCGCAAACACAGCAUCUGCAACCACAACAACCAAUUUCGCAGCAACAAGCACAACAACAACAACAACAACAACAACAACAACAAAUCCUUCAACAAAUUCUGCAACAACAACAACUGAUUCCAUGCAGGGAUGUCAUCGUCUUGCAACAACACAACAUAGCGCAUGAAAGCUCACAAGUAUUGCAGCAAAGUAGUUACCAAGUGUUGCAACAAUUAUGUUGUCAGCAGCUGCGGCAGAUCCCCGAGCAGUCGCGGUGCCAAGCCAUCAACAAUGUCGUUCAUGCUAUUAUUCUGCAUCAACAACAACAACAACAAGGACAACAUCAACAGUCGAGCCAGGUCUCCUACCAGCAGCCUCAGCAACAAUAUCCAUCAGGCCAGGGCUCCUUCCAGCCAUCUCAGCAAAAUCCACAGGCCCAGGGCUUUGUCCAACCUCAACAUCUGCCCCAACUCGAGGAAAUAAGUAACCUAGCGCUGCAGACGCUACCAGCAAUGUGCAAUGUCUACAUCCCUCCAUAUUGCUCGACCACCAUUGCGCCAUUUGGCAUCUUCGGUACUAACUGA